GAUGAACGCUGGCGGCGUGCUUAACACAUGCAAGUCGAACGGAAAGGCCCUGCCUUUGUUGGGUGCUCGAGUGGCGAACGGGUGAGUAACACGUGAGUAACCUGCCCUUGACUUCGGGAUAACUCCAGGAAACUGGGGCUAAUACCGGAUAGGAGCACCGGCUGGAUGGUGUGGGGGGGAGAUUUUCGGCGGUGGGGGGUGGACGCGCGGCUUAACAGCUUGUGGGUGGGGUAGUGGCAUCCCAAGGCCUUGGCGGGUCGCCGGCCUGAGAGGGUGACCGGCCACAGGGGGACUGAGAUAGGGCACAGACGCCUACGGGGGGCAGCAGGGGGGAAUAUUGCACAAGGGGCGGGAGCGUGGUGGAGCAGCGGCGCGUGCGGGAUGGGGGCCUGCGGGGUGUAAACCGCUUGCGCGGGUGACGGAGCGUGAGUGACGGUAAUGGGUGAAGAAGCACCGGCUAACUACGUG
This 468-nucleotide ribosomal RNA is filed under the name uncultured bacterium. Its description in RNAcentral is "partial 16S ribosomal RNA". It matches the Rfam family "Bacterial small subunit ribosomal RNA", at positions 28 to 507 of the family's 1533-position model. The record is from RNAcentral.